AUGGCUGAUUUCUGGGGAAUGGGCUUCUUCCUCAGCCUGGAGGAUUACACUUAUUACACUAUUUUCUACCGUAUCCUCUGGAAUAUGCUGAUCAUAGCAUUAUUCGACUUCGUUAUGGAUUUGUGGGAUCGGAGGAGAGAGAGACAGAGGAUGUUCCAACACAGAGGCAACCAGGAAAAUUCUAGAGUUUGGGACUUCCCCACGUCUUCACAGCACUCGAGGAUGCACUCCUCAGCGCCCACGCUAGAUGACGAUAUCUAUGAAAUAAUCUGUCAGUUCAACAGGAACCUUGAUACCUUGAUCAGUUGCUUGGAGAUCUCAAACAAGCGCAUCUUGGAAAUGCCUGAGGACAGCGAUGAUUCCACCACCUGGGUCACAGCAAGUGAAGACAGCUGCUCUUCAAGGGCAUCGCCAUGCCCUUUGAGCACCAGUGGCGAGGAAAUGGAGGCACCUUGCCCUCACCCGAAAACCCAGGAGAACUUGGAAAGCUCCAUCCCAGAAAGGAAAGCGGAGCAGGGACUAAGCCUCAGUGAUCGGAAACAGCCUGAUGUGAUGCUGGUUCCCACGGUGAGGCACCUGCCCUUCAUGGAUGAGGCUAAGAAAAGUCAUCUGGAGGAUCCUAAUGUGAAAAUGCAGGCACCACAGCACCUGGAGAAGAGUUUGUCAGAGGCUGUCCUGGGGCAGAAACAUUCCCGGCUUCCCCAUCCACGGAGGCAUAUGAGGGCGUCCAUCCUCUCGUCCUUCCAGCACAGGCACAGGCAAGCUCGGGCAAGGAAGUCAGCAGCGCAGCGCCGUGGUCAACUUCGAAAAUCUUUUUCCACACCAGAUGCACACACACAAGAAAAGAAGGUUCCAGUCCAAACUGCCUCCUACGGAGUCCCUGAAAGCACUGAAGACCAGCAGAACUGGUUGAUGCAUCUAUGGCUGGAGCAGUACCAAUAUGUUGAGAGACAAAAGGCAAAUUAUGUGCCUGUCCAGGAAGGAUCCAAGCGCGUGGCUCCAUCCAACACUGCAGGCCUGGUUGAUGGACGAGGAGCAACAGUGGGAGAGAGGAAUUCACCCAGGGACAUGGCCAGGAGGCGGCAGAGCUGGAAUAAUACUGCUGCUGGCUGGCAGCCAGAGGGGCUCCUUGAACAUGCAUUCACGGGAAAGAUUACAUCAUUUGUGCGGAGUAAGCUGAAGCGGAUAAAAACGGUAGGGGCAUCCAUACUGAUUGGCGUGGAGAAGAAAAGUGAGUGAGCGCAUGACCCGGGUGCGAUCGGCCAUGCGCAGCGGCUGCACGGUUAUAAAAGACAGUGCGAAAGUUCCAGAAAACGAGAGUUGACUCCACAGCAUCUGUGAUUGUGUCUCUCCCUGGGAUGGGAUCCCAGUUCUUUAGGGUCUAUUAAUUAUCACGCUGCGACAGGAGGCUUCUGCCACAUUGUGAACCAUUCAGGCCCCGGCCAGCACAUGCAGAGAUGAGGCCCAGGCACAAGGCAGCAGGACACAGGACACCUAGGCCAGGGACACCACCUCUACCACAGAGCUGCUGCUUUGUGACGGCCCUCCUGUGCCUUUGCAUUCAGUGUGCCAGGGUCAAGCUCCAAGCUGCUGGCAAGGCCCUCUAUUCCAUGAUCAAGAAGAGAGGUGAGGAGCCCUCAAGGAAGGGAAGACGGCCUGUGUAGACACAGAUCGACGUGAGACUAGAGGAUCACCCAAACUACUGGGCAAAAGGGAAAGCCCACAUCCGCCUCUGGAGGCAGUGAAGGAGGACUUGGUGGCAUCUCAAGAUAAGACUUUCAGUGGUGCCAGUGAGGCCAGGCACAGAAAGGGGCUGAGCCAGAGUGGCAGCAGCCACAGGCACGUGGAGAUGCUGGCUCCUGUUGCCUGUAGGGAGCCAGCCCACGUGCUGCUUCCUGGGAGCGGGCUGCUCUUGGAGCCCCAAGCUCCUGCCCCGUCUGAGAGUGUUCUUCAUCCUGCUGGUGUCCAGGCGGGCACAGCGCCAGUGAGCAGCAGAUUGCUACCAGAUGAUACCAGGGGUCAGGAGCAGAAGGGCAAGGGACACACCCAGGACAAGCCAGCUCCUCCAAGAAAAACGUCCCCACUGAGAAAGCACUUCUUCAAUGAGCAGAGACACUCAGGUCUGCCACAGACUCCAAAUGCCACUGGGACCGAGUCUCUAACCUGCGUCAUGAAGUGGUUCUUCAAAAGAAUUAGAAAGUUGAACAAAGCCAGACAAACUGCUGAUGAGCUGCAGCAGCAGGUGCAGGCUUCUAUUUCAAAACUGCUCACAAACAAUGUCAAGCAACCAAGGACAGACUUGGCAGCAGAGGAACCUGUGGCGAGGACACAGAGUGGAAGAGAAGGGCAAGAGAUGCACCAAGAACAGAUCUGACUCUGGGACACUCUGCCCUACAUGUACCAAAGCACCACACUGCAGCCAGGCAGGCAGUGAAAGCUCCCAGAGAUUGGCUGCACCUGCAACUGCAGCCCCAGGUGCAGGAAGAGAAGAGAGCGUGAGAGAAGAAUCCAGUCCCCUCAGGAGGACAGGGGCAAGAGGCAGUAGGCCUGAAAAACACUCCUGCAGAUCAGCAGCCAGAGGAGCUCCUUUGGCUAUGGACAUCAAUCCCUGUAAUUGCAGGAGGGAGCCCACCAGGACACACACUCAGCGAGCAGCAGAUCCCUGUCAUGCCCUACCAGGGAGCAGGAGCUCUCCCAAUAAAUGGACCUCUGGAAGCCA
Molecule: long non-coding RNA, 2719 nt
Organism: Numida meleagris (helmeted guineafowl)
Lineage: Eukaryota; Metazoa; Chordata; Aves; Galliformes; Numididae
Source: Ensembl